GACGAACGCUGGCGGCGUGCCUAAUACAUGCAAGUAGAACGCUGAAGAGAGGAGCUUGCUCUUCUUGGAUGAGUUGCGAACGGGUGAGUAACGCGUAGGUAACCUGCCUUGUAGCGGGGGAUAACUAUUGGAAACGAUAGCUAAUACCGCAUAACAAUGGAUGACACAUGUCAUUUAUUUGAAAGGGGCAAUUGCUCCACUACAAGAUGGACCUGCGUUGUAUUAGCUAGUAGGUGAGGUAAUGGCUCACCUAGGCGACGAUACAUAGCCGACCUGAGAGGGUGAUCGGCCACACUGGGACUGAGACACGGCCCAGACUCCUACGGGAGGCAGCAGUAGGGAAUCUUCGGCAAUGGGGGCAACCCUGACCGAGCAACGCCGCGUGAGUGAAGAAGGUUUUCGGAUCGUAAAGCUCUGUUGUAAGUCAAGAACGGGUGUGAGAGUGGAAAGUUCACACUGUGACGGUAGCUGACCAGAAAGGGACGGCUAACUACGUG
This 497-nucleotide ribosomal RNA is filed under the name uncultured bacterium. RNAcentral describes it as "partial 16S ribosomal RNA". It matches the Rfam family "Bacterial small subunit ribosomal RNA", at positions 28 to 507 of the family's 1533-position model. The record is from RNAcentral.